CCUACGGGAGGCUGCAGUGGGGAAUAUUGCACAAUGGGGGGAACCCUGAUGCAGCAACGCCGCGUGAGCGAAGAAGGCCUUCGGGUUGUAAAGCUCUUUUAUGGGGGAUGAGUAAGGACAGUACCUCAUGAACAAGUCUCGGCUAACUACGUGCCAGCAGCCGCGGUAAAACGUAGGAGGCGAGCGUUAUCCGGAUUUACUGGGCGUAAAGGGCAAGUAGGCGGUUGCCAAAGUUGGGCGUGACAGAUCCUGGCUUAACUGGGAAAGGUCGUCCAAAACUAGGCGACUAGAGGGCAGGAGAGGAAAGCGGAAUUCCUAGUGUAGCGGUGGAAUGCUCAGAUAUUAGGAAGAACACCAGUGGCGAAAGCGGCUUUCUGGCCUGUACCUGACGCUGAGAGGCGAAAGCUAGGGGAGCGAACGGGCUUAGAUACCCGAGUAGUC
Molecule: ribosomal RNA, 441 nt
Filed under: uncultured bacterium
Lineage: Bacteria
Description: bacterial SSU rRNA
Rfam family: Bacterial small subunit ribosomal RNA
Source: RNAcentral